UUUGGAGUUUCAGAUUUUAUCAGUAAACUGAACAUGCAAGCCCAACUCUGUACUGUUGCAGGGAUUUCUUGGUAGUUCUAUGUUGAAUUUUGGAGUUCCGAUCUGCUUACUUGUAAACUAGAGAGCUCAUGUUAUGCGAUUUUGGGUGCAAAGCAACAUGGUACAAUGAAGUUCAUGCUUCUUUGUUUCACCUAAGUGUAAUUAAAAUGGCUCAUGAACUAUGGAUAUCCG
Long non-coding RNA from Solanum verrucosum, 231 nucleotides. RefSeq lists it as uncharacterized. NCBI's taxonomy places the organism in Eukaryota, Viridiplantae, Streptophyta, Magnoliopsida, Solanales, Solanaceae. The transcript has 3 exons. The record is from RefSeq and is a predicted model, not a curated record.